GACGAACGCUGGCGGCGUGCUUAACACAUGCAAGUGGAGCGACGAACCAGGGCUUGCCCUGGGGCAGAGCCGCGAACGGGUGAGUAACACGUGGGUAACCCACCCCGAUGACCGGGACAACCCGAGGAAACUCGGGCUAAUACCGGAUGUUCUCUCUUCCUCUGAGGGAAGAGAGCAAAAGAUAGCUUCGGCCUUCGCAUCGGGACGGGCCCGCGGCCCAUUAGCUUGUUGGUGGGGUGANGGCCUA
This 247-nucleotide ribosomal RNA is filed under the name uncultured bacterium. Its description in RNAcentral is "partial 16S ribosomal RNA". It matches the Rfam family "Bacterial small subunit ribosomal RNA", at positions 28 to 267 of the family's 1533-position model. The record is from RNAcentral.